This 651-nucleotide ribosomal RNA is filed under the name Serratia sp. (in: enterobacteria). RNAcentral's name for it is "bacterial SSU rRNA". It matches the Rfam family "Bacterial small subunit ribosomal RNA", at positions 763 to 1413 of the family's 1533-position model. The record is from RNAcentral. Lineage: Bacteria; Pseudomonadati; Pseudomonadota; Gammaproteobacteria; Enterobacterales; Yersiniaceae.
GGGGAGCAAACAGGAUUAGCUACCCUGGUAGUCCCCGCUGUAAACGAUGUCGAUUUGGAGGUCGUGCCCUUGAGGCGUGGCUUCCGGAGCUAACGCGUUAAAUCGACCGCCUGGGGAGUACGGCCGCAAGGUUAAAACUCAAAUGAAUUGACGGGGGCCCCGCACAAGCGGUGGAGCAUGUGGUUUAAUUCGAUGCAACGCGAAGAACCUUACCUACUCUUGACAUCCAGAGAACUUUCCAGAGAUGGAUUGGUGCCUUCGGGAACUCUGAGACAGGUGCUGCAUGGCUGUCGUCAGCUCGUGUUGUGAAAUGUUGGGUUAAGUCCCGCAACGAGCGCAACCCUUAUCCUUUGUUGCCAGCGGUUCGGCCGGGAACUCAAAGGAGACUGCCAGUGAUAAACUGGAGGAAGGUGGGGAUGACGUCAAGUCAUCAUGGCCCUUACGAGUAGGGCUACACACGUGCUACAAUGGCGUAUACAAAGAGAAGCGACCUCGCGAGAGCAAGCGGACCUCAUAAAGUACGUCGUAGUCCGGAUUGGAGUCUGCAACUCGACUCCAUGAAGUCGGAAUCGCUAGUAAUCGUAGAUCAGAAUGCUACGGUGAAUACGUUCCCGGGCCUUGUACACACCGCCCGUCACACCAUGGGAGUGG